UAGUAGAGGCGAUUGAACAGGGAAGAGCACAAAAUGUAAAUCUCAGCGGCAACGCUGCGAAUUGUAGUCUCAAGUUGCAUUACCAGCGCAGUCGUAAGGUAAAUUCUUCUGGAGUGAAGAACCACAGAGGGUGAGAGUCCCGUAUGUCUUGCGAUACUGCGUGUACGGUGUGCACACAAAGAGUCGCGCUCCUUGGGAAUGGAGCGCUAAGUGGGUGGUAAAUGUCAUCCAAUGCUAAAUAUUGGUGGGAGACCGAUAGCGAACAAGUACCGUGAGGGAAAGAUGAAAAGAACUUUGAAAAGAGAGUUAAAAGUGUCUGAAAUUGCUGGUAGGGAAGCGGUUCGUAUUGUCCUUGUUAGAGGAGAUGUAAUGUGAGAAAGUGGACUACUUAUGGUAACCGCAAGGGACUGUAGGUAGAUAAGCUCAUUGUGUUGCUAUCACUCCUUUAGCUUAGUCUACGUCAGUUGUGACUGCGUGAAAACCCGGGAGGCUUCGGCUGAACGACGGCUCACGCGGAUGCAACUGAAGAGGUGAACGCC
This 539-nucleotide ribosomal RNA is filed under the name uncultured alveolate. RNAcentral describes it as "eukaryotic LSU rRNA". It matches the Rfam family "Eukaryotic large subunit ribosomal RNA", at positions 81 to 583 of the family's 3401-position model. The record is from RNAcentral.